CUCUCGGCAACGGAUAUCUCGGCUCUCGCAUCGAUGAAGAACGUAGCGAAAUGCGAUACCUGGUGUGAAUUGCAGAAUCCCGCGAACCAUCGAGUCUUUGAACGCAAGUUGCGCCCAAGGCCUCUUGGCCGAGGGCACGCCUGCCUGGGCGUCACGCAAAACA
Molecule: ribosomal RNA, 163 nt
Filed under: Lolium mairei
Lineage: Eukaryota; Viridiplantae; Streptophyta; Magnoliopsida; Poales; Poaceae
Description: Festuca mairei 5.8S ribosomal RNA
Rfam family: 5.8S ribosomal RNA
About the family: 5.8S ribosomal RNA (5.8S rRNA) is a component of the large subunit of the eukaryotic ribosome.
Source: RNAcentral